Pelobates cultripes (western spadefoot toad) is the source of this 327-nucleotide non-coding RNA. The record is from the annotation of a GenBank genome assembly. NCBI's taxonomy places the organism in Eukaryota, Metazoa, Chordata, Amphibia, Anura, Pelobatidae.
CUGUCUUUUAUAUUCUUUAGAUAAAAUGUGCCAUUGGAUAUAUAGAGACCGUACAGCAGUUUAAAUGAUAUUAAGUUGUAUUUCAUGCGUACAGGAAAUUCAAUUCUCUUUCUACUCUAGUCGGAAAGAAAAAUUGCGUCUAACACGGUGCAGACAAGAUGCGUUCGCAGUAACCAGUAAUAUGUCUUCUUUUUUUUUCUUUUCCAGUCCUUAUGUGAACCAGAUACUUUCCUCCUCUCGUUCUAAUCUGUGUGCAGACUGUCAGCAUCAUUUCUGGAAGACUGAGUUCAGGAAAUACGGCCUCAUUCUCCAAUAUUUCUCAGCAAA